CUACGGGGUGCAGCAGUGAGGAAUAUUGGUCAAUGGGCGCAAGCCUGAACCAGCCACUCCGCGUGUAGGAUGACUGCCCUAUGGGUUGUAAACUACUUUUAUACAGGAAGAAACCUCCAUACGUGUAUGGAGCUGACUGUACUGUAAGAAUAAGCAUCGGCUAACUCCGUGCCAGCAGCCGCGGUAAUACGGAGGAUGCAAGCGUUAUCCGGAUUUAUUAGGUCUAAAGGGUGCGUAGGCGGAUAUUUAAGUCAGUGGUGAAAUCCUACAGCUUAACUGUAGAACUGCCAUUGAUACUGGAUGUCUUGAGUUUAGUUGAGGUAGGCGGAAUGUGUAGUGUAGCGGUGAAAUGCUUAGAUAUUACACAGAACACCGAUUGCGAAGGCAGCUUACUAAGCUAACACUGACGCUGAGGCACGAAAGCGUGGGGAGCGAACAGGAUUAGAUACCCGCGUAGUC
RNAcentral lists this ribosomal RNA (459 nucleotides) under uncultured bacterium. RNAcentral's name for it is "partial 16S ribosomal RNA". It matches the Rfam family "Bacterial small subunit ribosomal RNA", at positions 339 to 795 of the family's 1533-position model. The record is from RNAcentral.